Molecule: unclassified non-coding RNA, 336 nt
Filed under: soil metagenome
Description: partial contains 5.8S ribosomal RNA, internal transcribed spacer 2, and large subunit ribosomal RNA
Rfam family: 5.8S ribosomal RNA (bases 1-120)
Source: RNAcentral
GAUGAAGAACGCAGCGAAAUGCGAUAAGUAAUGUGAAUUGCAGAAUUCAGUGAAUCAUCGAAUCUUUGAACGCACAUUGCGCCCGCCAGUAUUCUGGCGGGCAUGCCUGUUCGAGCGUCAUUUCAACCAUCAAGCCCCAGGCUUGUGUUGGGGACCUGCGGCUGCCGCAGGCCCUGAAAACCAGUGGCGGGCUCGCUAGUCACACCGAGCGUAGUAGCAUACACAUCGCUCAGGGCGUGCUGCGGGUUCCGGCCGUUAAACCCCUUUUUUACCCAAGGUUGACCUCGGAUCAGGUAGGAAGGCCCGCUGAACUUAAGCAUAUCAAUAAGCGGAGGA